UCUCUCGCCGUCUGAGCUGGACAUGCAGCUGUCUUCUGCCUUGUCGGUGGAAACCUCUUGGUCAUGACAUGGGACAGAGACGUCCUUGCUGAGCUCCGUGUCCUUGAGUGGAUUUGCAGCCUCUCCCUUCCGGGCUUGCUCCAGGACUGUGUGCCUCCGUCCUGUUUGUGGCGAGAAUGUGGUGACCUCUUCCGAUCUCUUCUGAAUUUCACGCCCCACAUAAGAAGAGAAACUUUUCUUGACGAUAUCUGCUAAGAAAUGACCAACAAACAAUAGACUGGGGGGGAUGGCUCCUCUGUUGAGAGCGUUCCAGCGUUCCAUGCUCUAUCAUGAGGAGCAAGAGUCCGGAUCCCAGCAUCCACAUCCACCGCUCACAGACAUCUCUAACUCCAGCUCCAAGGGAUCUGAUGCUCUCUUUUGGCCUCUGUCAGUAUUCACACGCACACGCGCUCAUACACUCAAUCAGAUGUCCAUAUAGACAUAGGUGUACAUAAAUAAAAUAAAGCUUAAAAUAGGUUAAUGUGG
Non-coding RNA from Rattus norvegicus (Norway rat), 525 nucleotides. Lineage: Eukaryota; Metazoa; Chordata; Mammalia; Rodentia; Muridae. The record is from RefSeq and is a predicted model, not a curated record.